GCCCCCCCGCUUCCCGCAGGCCCGGGCGGGUGAAUCAGCCUUUCUUGGGGGGGGGGGGGGGGCGGGGAUGCCGUCCGCACA
Molecule: microRNA precursor, 81 nt
Filed under: Pteropus vampyrus (large flying fox)
Lineage: Eukaryota; Metazoa; Chordata; Mammalia; Chiroptera; Pteropodidae
Description: miRNA (ENSPVAG00000028305.1)
Source: RNAcentral